Long non-coding RNA from Clupea harengus (Atlantic herring), 331 nucleotides. The record is from Ensembl. NCBI's taxonomy places the organism in Eukaryota, Metazoa, Chordata, Actinopteri, Clupeiformes, Clupeidae.
UUUUCAGUUGUGCGUGUGAGAGGUUACAUUUUCAGUUGUGCGUGUGAGAGGUUACAUUUUCAGUUGUGCGUGUGAGAGGUUACAUUUUCAGUUGUGCGUGUGAGAGGUUACAUUUUCAGUUGUAUGUGUGAGAGGUUACAUUUUCAGUUGUAUGUGUGAGAGGUGUUCACUGUGGUAUAAGAGAGGUUCUCACUCAUGAGUAUGAGAGGUUUUCAGUUGUCAUUGUGUGAGGUUCCAUUUUCACUAGUGUACGUGAGGGGUGUUUAGUACUGAAUGUGAGUGUAUUUCAGUAGUGUUUGUGAAAGGCAAAAGGUCUUCAAUGGUGUGUAUG